AAACCAACAGGGAUUGCCUCAGUAGCGGCGAGUGAAGCGGCAAGAGCUCAGAUUUGAAAUCGCAGCGCAUGCUGCGAGUUGUAGAUUGCAGGUGGGAGAGUCUGCGUAGGCCGGUGUCGAAGUCCCUUGGAACAGGGCGCCACUGAGGGUGAGAGCCCCGUGCGAUGCCACGCUCUACGUUUUGUACUCCCCUCUGACGAGUCGAGUUGUUUGGGAAUGCAGCUCUAAGUGGGUGGUAAAUUCCAUCUAAGGCUAAAUACUGGCGAGAGACCGAUAGCGAACAAGUACUGUGAAGGAAAGAUGAAAAGCACUUUGAAAAGAGAGUGAAACAGCACGUGAAAUUGUUGAAAGGGAGGGUAUUGGGCCCGACAUGGGAAUCGCGCACCGCUGCUCCUUGUGGGCGGCGCUCUGGGCUUUUCCUGGGCCAGCAUCGGUUCUUGCUGCAGGAGAAGGGGCUGUGGAAUGUGGCUGCCG
This 474-nucleotide ribosomal RNA is filed under the name uncultured Pichia. Its description in RNAcentral is "eukaryotic LSU rRNA". It matches the Rfam family "Eukaryotic large subunit ribosomal RNA", at positions 62 to 545 of the family's 3401-position model. Lineage: Eukaryota; Fungi; Ascomycota; Saccharomycetes; Saccharomycetales; Saccharomycetaceae. The record is from RNAcentral.